AUUGAACGCUGGCGGCGUGCCUAACACAUGCAAGUCGAGCGGUAACAGGUGUAGCAAUACAUGCUGACGAGCGGCGGACGGGUGAGUAACGCUUGGGAAUCUGCCUAUUAGUGGGGGACAACCCGGGGAAACUCGGGCUAAUACCGCAUACGCUCUACGGAGGAAAGCCGGGGACCGCAAGGCCUGGCGCUAAUAGAUGAGCCCAAGUCGGAUUAGCUAGUUGGUAGGGUAAGGCCUACCAAGGCGACGAUCCGUAACUGGUCUGAGAGGACGACCAGUCACACCGGAACUGAGACACGGUCCGGACUCCUACGGGAGGCAGCAGUGGGGAAUAUUGGACAAUGGGCGAAAGCCUGAUCCAGCGACGCCGCGUGGGUGAAGAAGGCCUGCGGGUUGUAAGCCCUUUCAGUGGGAAGAAAAGCCUCGACCUAACACGUCGGGGUCUUGACGUAACCAUAGAACCGAAGCACCGGCUAACUCUGUGCCAG
This 488-nucleotide ribosomal RNA is filed under the name uncultured bacterium. RNAcentral describes it as "bacterial SSU rRNA". It matches the Rfam family "Bacterial small subunit ribosomal RNA", at positions 29 to 511 of the family's 1533-position model. The record is from RNAcentral.